GUUCCUAUAGUAGAAUUACAACGAUAGUUUUUCAGACUAUUAGUCUAGGUUAGAGUCCUAGUAGGAAUA
This 69-nucleotide transfer RNA is filed under the name Nanorana yunnanensis (Yunan spiny frog). Its description in RNAcentral is "tRNA-Glu". It matches the Rfam family "tRNA". From Rfam's summary of the family: Transfer RNA (tRNA) molecules are approximately 80 nucleotides in length. Their secondary structure includes four short double-helical elements and three loops (D, anti-codon, and T loops). Further hydrogen bonds mediate the characteristic L-shaped molecular structure. tRNAs have two regions of fundamental functional importance: the anti-codon, which is responsible for specific mRNA codon recognition, and the 3' end, to which the tRNAs corresponding amino acid is attached (by aminoacyl-tRNA synthetases). tRNAs cope with the degeneracy of the genetic code in two manners: having more than one tRNA (with a specific anti-codon) for a particular amino acid; and 'wobble' base-pairing, i.e. permitting non-standard base-pairing at the 3rd anti-codon position. Lineage: Eukaryota; Metazoa; Chordata; Amphibia; Anura; Dicroglossidae. The record is from RNAcentral.